RNAcentral lists this unclassified non-coding RNA (276 nucleotides) under soil metagenome. Its description in RNAcentral is "partial contains 5.8S ribosomal RNA, internal transcribed spacer 2, and large subunit ribosomal RNA". The stretch from base 1 to 120 matches the Rfam family "5.8S ribosomal RNA", at positions 35 to 154 of the family's 154-position model. The record is from RNAcentral.
GAUGAAGAACGCAGCGAAAUGCGAUAAUUAAUGUGAAUUGCAGAAUUUAGUGAAUCAUCGAGUCUUUGAACGCACAUUGCGCCUCAUGGUAUUCCGUGAGGCAUGCCUGUCUGAGCGUCAACAACACCACUCAAGCAUUGCUUUCUUGCUCUGCCUGGUCCAUGUCAGGGAAGCGGUUGGGCCUGCGUGUGAGCUCCCAGCAAGCCAACCCCCACAUUUUGACCUCGGAUCAGGUAGGGAUACCCGCUGAACUUAAGCAUAUCAAUAAGCGGAGGA